AGGACGAACGCUGGCGGCGUGCUUAACACAUGCAAGUCGAACGGAUUAGUUGGGAGCUUGCUCCCGGCUAAGUGAGUGGCGGACGGGUGAGUAACGCGUGAACAAUCUGUCUCAUACAGGGGGAUAACGCAUCGAAAGAUGUGCUAAUACCGCGUAGGACCACGGAAUCGCAUGGUUCUGAGGUGAAAGGCGAAAGUCGGUAUGAGGUGAGUUCGCGUCUGAUUAGAUAGUUGGUGAGGUAACGGCCCACCAAGUCAACGAUCAGUAGCCGACCUGAGAGGGUGAUCGGCCACAUUGGGACUGAGACACGGCCCAGACUCCUACGGGAGGCAGCAGUGGGGAAUAUUGCACAAUGGGGGAAACCCUGAAUGCAGCGACGCCGCGUGAGUGAAGAAGUAUUUCGGUAUGUAAAGCUCUUUUAGCAGGGAAGAUGAUGACGGUACCUGCAGAAAAAGCCCCGGCUAAAUACGUGCCAGCCGCCGC
RNAcentral lists this ribosomal RNA (483 nucleotides) under uncultured bacterium. RNAcentral describes it as "bacterial SSU rRNA". It matches the Rfam family "Bacterial small subunit ribosomal RNA", at positions 26 to 518 of the family's 1533-position model. The record is from RNAcentral.